UUGGAUAGCUAGUGUUUGUAGGCUCCGUGCUCGCGCAUCGAACUACAUACCACCUAUCCUUCUCAGUUGCUUCGCGAGUAAAAUUAAGCUCGUUGAUGAGAUCUGGGGCUUGUGUUGCGUACCUAACUAGAAGGAAUUAUUGAGUUUGGCUUCACACGUUGUUCGUGGCAUCUCCCUCAACGGGGGAAGUCGUGAACACAAUAAUUGGCACUUGUGAUCCUUGCGUCCUGGCACCAAAAAUGCUGUGUUCGCAAAGGUGAACAAGUUGUCGGUUGAAAUCUCGGAUGCGGAAAGAUUAUGGACGGUGACUCGAAGUGAUUCUGUCCCGCCAAAGCACGUUUGUCCUCGGAC
RNAcentral lists this unclassified non-coding RNA (351 nucleotides) under Eutrema edwardsii. RNAcentral describes it as "partial external transcribed spacer". The record is from RNAcentral. Lineage: Eukaryota; Viridiplantae; Streptophyta; Magnoliopsida; Brassicales; Brassicaceae.